AAGGGCUUAGCUUAAUUAAAGUAGUUGAUUUGCAUUCAGCUGAUGUGAGGUGUGUUCUCGCAGUCCUUAGGUUGGUUUA
Molecule: transfer RNA, 79 nt
Filed under: Eumetopias jubatus (Steller sea lion)
Lineage: Eukaryota; Metazoa; Chordata; Mammalia; Carnivora; Otariidae
Description: tRNA-Ala
Rfam family: tRNA (bases 1-69)
About the family: Transfer RNA (tRNA) molecules are approximately 80 nucleotides in length.
Source: RNAcentral